CUUAUGAAAUUCAUAGAAGAAUCGGCUUAUGAAUUAGCCAAUGAUACUAUUCCAGCAAACUGGAUGCAGUUAGAGGGACAUAUCGAAAGUUUAAUACAACAAGGCAGUACUGUUUUAGAGGCCAGAGAGCUAAUUGACGACUUUCACACACUUGGUUUCGAAAGGGAUCAAUUACUUCCAUUUUUGCACUACCAGCAUUCGAGAGGAGAGCUUCUCUUCUUUUCGAAAGAAACUGCCACUGUAAGAAGAACAUUUACUGAAUGCAGCGAAGAUUCCAUUCUGAGCAGUACUCCAAUAUUUCUAGAUCCUAUGGUACUGAUUCAGUUCAUCAAUCUUAUUUUGAAGAGAAGACCGAAAGAAAAUUUUCAAAUCGGCUUAAGAUUACAGCAUGUCGCUUACUCUGCAGAGGGUGUUUUGGAUGAUAAAUAUCUAACGUCUACUCUCGACAGUGUAGAAGGUGGUAAUUUGAAAGAAUACAAAAACUAUUUCAUCCAAGAACUGAUUGCGUUGCAUGUUCUUUUCAAAUUCAAAGACGGUGAUCAAGAAUUAAUGUUUAUGCCAUGUCUCUUGAGACAACAACCACCAGAUGCUAUUCUUCAGUUUCAAAGAGCAACAGAGACCACAUCAGUGCUCGUUAUCAGGUUUAACAUCACUUAUAUUAGCCAAGCCGUAUUUCAUCAAUUAGUUGCUGCCUUGCAUAAGUAUUACUCGCCAAGAAAGCUGACAGAAAACAAUAUCAACAGAAUGCAGUUUUACUGUGGUUACAUAAGCUUUAACUUGUCGAAUUCCGGACUACAUCAAAUGCAAAUGAUUUGGAAAUCAAAUGGUAUUCAUCUGAAGAUCUCAAACUUUGCAAGCCAUGUUUCCCUCGAUACCAUCGUGAACAACGAAGGUGUAACAGUUUGUGAAGCUGCUCUCGACAAUACAUUAGAUUGUCUAAAUGAAGUACUUACUACGUACAGAGACUCCCCGGAUUACGAGCUUAUGGUUAUUUGUCCUGAACAUUUUAUGCCCCCUUCACUUGUGCCGUUCGAUAUUCUGGUAGAAGAAAAUGGCUGUCUUUGUCCGUGUGCAGAUCCACACGCGUUAACUAAAGAAAGAGCUUGAAAUUUUGGAUAUCACCUAGCUCUUUGAUACAGAGAUCAGUUACACCUGUCAUUAACCACAACAGUUGUCCGACGUCGAAGGACAUUGGUAGAAUUGCACUUGCUAUAGAGGUCAACAUACACAUCCUGGCACAUGUUUUGAAAAUUGAAGAUAUUGAAGCCGUCCGUCUCGCAUAUGAAUACCCAAAUGAUACCAAGAUGCAAAUAUUGAACCUGUUGUUGAAAUGGAAACAAAAAAAUGGAAGUGAAGCUACGUUUGGGGUUCUCCGGAAAAGACUUGGGAAAUUAAUCAAACGACGUGAAGGUGACUGGAUUGGUAAAGUCGUGAGGGAGGGCUUAAAAUCAGCAACAUGGGAACUUCCGACAGAUACUCUUCAGGCGAUUCCCGAUGACAGAAUUUUGUCAUUUUGCAUUAGCACCGCUUUACUUCCAGGAACAUUUUAUUUCUUUUUCCUGGAAUUAGGGUUAUCAGUCCCCGCUAUUGAGCGAGCGGACGAACAAUACAGGGGAUUUGUAUCACGAAUGUUUGAGUUGCUAAAGUUAUGGAAACAGCAGGAAGCGAACGAGGCUACAUUGCAGAGGCUACUUGACACUGCCGACUACGUGGGAAUGAAUUCAUCACUUAUGGUCCAGUAUGUAAGACGGGAACGAACCAAAACAGAACUUUUAGCAAGUUGGCAUAGUACAAAUGCAUAAUACAGGCAGGUUGAGAUAUAUGGAACGUCAUAUAAUAAACUGUUCUUUACAACGCAGUCGUAUGUAAAACAUUUUGAAAUAAGGCAACUCGAUUAAUAGAAUGAAAAUGUAGCAAGUACUAUACAUAUUUCCGUACUUCGUAAAUAUAUCACGAAAUUGACAACUGUCAUACGUUUAUA
Mercenaria mercenaria is the source of this 1981-nucleotide RNA transcript. RefSeq lists it as uncharacterized. The record is from RefSeq and is a predicted model, not a curated record. Lineage: Eukaryota; Metazoa; Mollusca; Bivalvia; Venerida; Veneridae. The transcript has 3 exons.